This 475-nucleotide ribosomal RNA is filed under the name uncultured Magnetococcus sp. RNAcentral describes it as "bacterial SSU rRNA". It matches the Rfam family "Bacterial small subunit ribosomal RNA", at positions 81 to 587 of the family's 1533-position model. Lineage: Bacteria; Pseudomonadati; Pseudomonadota; Magnetococcia; Magnetococcales; Magnetococcaceae. The record is from RNAcentral.
AAAGGUGCUGGCGAGUAGCGAACGGGUGCGUAACGCGUGGAUACCUGACCUAUAGUGUGGGACAACAGUUGGAAACGACUGCUAAUACCGCAUAAGUCCUAAGGGAGAAAGGCAGUAAUGUUGCUAUGGGAGGGGUCCGCGUCGGAUUAGCUAGUUGGUGAGGUAACGGCUCACCAGGGCGACGAUCCGUAACUGGUCUGAGAGGAUGGCCAGUCACACUGGGACUGAGAUACGGCCCAGACUCCUACGGGAGGCAGCAGUGGGGAAUAUUGCGCAAUGGAGGAAACUCUGACGCAGCGAUACCGCGUGGGUGAAGAAGGCCUUCGGGUUGUAAAGCCCUUUUAGUAGGGACGAUAGUGACGGUACCUACAGAAGAAGCCCCGGCUAACUCCGUGCCAGCAGCCGCGGUAAUACGGAGGGGGCAAGCGUUGUUCGGAAUCACUGGGCGUAAAGAGCGCGUAGGCGGCUCAAUAAG